UACAGCCACAUCAUGUUGAAAUACCGGUUCCUGUACAAUUACCAAAGUUAAGCAACACCGAGCCUGGUCAGUACCUAGAUGGGUGAUCACUUGGUAAUAACAGGUGCUGUAAG
Molecule: non-coding RNA, 113 nt
Organism: Acanthosepion pharaonis
Lineage: Eukaryota; Metazoa; Mollusca; Cephalopoda; Sepiida; Sepiidae
Source: the annotation of a GenBank genome assembly